AGCCUACCCAUGAGGCAGCGCGCGGGCUGCACGCGAACCCCUUCACCCCCCUUCCCACGGCUCAGCUGCCUGCUCCGCAAUGGGAGCCGCCGCCGUUGCCGCCGUGUAGUUUUUCGUGCUCCUCCUUUUCCUCCUCCUCUUUCUCCUCCUCCUCAGGGCUCCAGUCAGGCCGAUCCGCUCCGCUCACGGAAGGAAAACGUAGAUAUUGAUUUCUGCUGUGUCUGGAGUCACAUGUACUUAGGUGACAAUUUACAGAAAGUCAACUCUGCAACUUGAUGGGCGACAACCCUUUUCAACCAAAAAAUAUUUCAAAAAUGGCAGAACUCUUUAUGGAAUGUGAGGAAGAAGAGCUGGAACCAUGGCAGAAGAAAGUAAAAGAGGUUGAGGAUGAUGAUGAUGAUGAACCCAUUUUUGUUGGAGAGAUAUCAAGUUCAAAACCAGCAAUUUCAAAUAUUUUGAACAGAGUGAACCCUAGCUCAUAUGCAAGGGGAGUAAAGAAUGGUGCACUCAAUCGAGGUAUUUCUGCUGCAUUUAAGCCUACAACUCAACACUAUACGAAUCCAACAUCAAAUCCAGUGGCUCCCUCACCAGCAAGUUUUCAUCCUGAAUCUAGAUCUUCAAAUAGUUCUGUUAUUGUUCAACCUUUUACUAAAUCUGGUUCUGUAACAAACUCUUUGCGAGUUGUGUCGAAUAACGCUCCAGAGUUACUGUUUGAUUUGACCCAGGAUGCAGGAUUACCACAUUUUCAAGGUGGACCAACAGUUUCUGUAGCAGGUGCAAAUGAAAAUUCAUUUUUAUCAAAACGCCCUUCUGCUUCUGAAGUAAACAGUGUGAGUCCCAAGAAGCCCAAGCCCAGUGAAAGUGUUUCUGGAACAAAUUCCUCAGCUGUAUUCCCUUCAGUUAAGUCUCCUUCAGUGACAGCUCCCCAAGCUGUGCCAUCAAAAGGUGCAAAUGGCUCAUCGAAUCAAUCUAAAAAUGGAACACCUUUUCCAAAAGCUUGUCCAAAGUGCAAUAUUCAUUUCAAUCUUUUGGAUCCUUUGAAAAAUCACAUGAAGUAUUGUUGUCCAGACAUGAUAAAUAACUUUUUGGGGCUAGCUAAAACAGAAUUGUCAAGCACAACAAAUAAAAAUAAGACUGUUGAUUCAGAGAAAGGAAAAUUGAUCAUGUUAGUUAAUGACUUUUAUUAUGGAAAACAUGAAGGAGAUGUCCAGGAAGAACAGAAGACUCAUACAACCUUUAAAUGCUUCAGUUGCUUGAAAAUCUUAAAAAAUAAUAUUAGGUUUAUGAACCACAUGAAACAUCAUUUGGAACUUGAGAAGCAGAGCAGUGAGAGCUGGGAAAACCACACCACCUGCCAGCACUGCUACCGUCAGUUUCCCACACCAUUUCAGCUGCAGUGUCACAUCGAAAGUACACACACUCCCCAUGAAUUUUCUACCAUUUGUAAAAUCUGUGAAUUAUCAUUCGAAACAGAACAUGUUCUUUUACAACAUAUGAAGGACAAUCAUAAACCCGGUGAGAUGCCAUAUAUCUGCCAGGUUUGCAAUUAUAGAUCAUCAUCAUUUUCUGAUGUAGAAACUCAUUUUAGAACAUCCCAUGAGAACACAAAGAACCUGCUGUGUCCAUUUUGCCUCAAAGUUAUUAAAAUUGCAACACCCUAUAUGCAUCAUUAUAUGAAGCAUCAGAAAAAAGGAAUACAUCGUUGUACAAAAUGCAGACUGCAAUUUUUGACAUGCAAAGAGAAAUUGGAUCAUAAGACUCAGCAUCAUCGGACAUUUAUAAAACCCAAACAACUGGAAGGAUUGCCUCCUGGGACAAAAGUUACCAUUCGAGCUUCUGUUGGACCUCUCCAGUCAGGAUCUUCGGUCACACCAUCCAUUAGUGCAAGCACUUCUACCCUUCAGCUCUCACCUCCAAGGACUAAAAAUAUAACUGAUAAAACUCCCACAAAAUUGAAUACAAGUAAACCUAAUACAACCAAAUCCAAUGCGAGUAAACCCAAUGCCAGUAAGCCUAAUGGAAAUAAAUCUAAGUACAAAUCAAAAAUCUCUAAUAUGCAAAAGAAACAAAGCACAUUGGCUAGUAGCAAUAAAAAAAGUAAAGUCAAUACAGCAUUGAGGAACUUAAGGUAUCGUCGGGGCGUUCACAAGUGCAUUGAAUGUUGUUCCGAAAUAAAAGAUUUUGCAAACCAUUUUCCUACAUAUGUCCACUGUAGUUUUUGCAGAUACAACACUAGCUGUAGCAAAGCCUAUGUAAAUCAUAUGAUGAGCUUUCAUAGUAACCGUCCAAGUAAAAGGUUUUGUAUAUUUAAGAAGCAUUCAGAACUCAGGGGCAUUACUGUAGUGUGCCUUAAUUGUGAUUUCCCAAGUGAUGUUUCUGACUUAGAUAAUAUGGCUACACACUUAUGUCAACAUGAAGCUCAUACUUGCCAAGUUGUAAUAGGGAAAGUUUCUGUUUGUAUCCCAACUUCUGAACAUCUUUCUGAAUUGAAAAAUGAAGCUCCUACUAAGGAACAAGAACCUGUGUCUAAGGAAGUUGCAAAACCUGUGACUGAAGGAGAGACAGAAACAUCACGUUCAGAAAGAAAACAUGAGAAAGCUUCUUCGGAAGACAAAAAUGAAUGCAAUGCAGAUUUAUUUGAAGGUCUAUCAGCAACAAAAAAUGCAGAAAGCCCAGCGAUUUCAGAUAAGGAGAAUGAUAGCCGCCUUACAGGCCAGGAACUUGGCUCAGAGACGGUCUUCAGUUAUGAAUCAAAUAUCAGUACAGAUGAAGUGGGAAAGGAAAAACAAGCACAACAUGUUUGUCAGGAAACAGAAUUAAAGAAGUGCAAAGAUCCAGAAAACACUGUUUCAUGUGACCAGAUGGAAGAUCUUAGCUCCAGUAAAGCUAAGUGUUCUUCAAAGAAUAUUAAAGAUUUGCGGUUGACAUCAGGUGAUGUUAGCAUAGAUCAGUUUUUGAGAAAGCGAGAUGAACCUAAAUCUGUUAGUUCUGAUGUUAGUGAGCAAGGCAGUGUUCAUUUGGAACCUUUGACUCCUUCAGAGGUACUUGAGUUUGAAGCCACAGAGAUUCUUCAGAAAGGUAAUGGUGAUCCUUCAGCCAACACUGAUGAAAUAGUGUCUGAAACAGAUGACAUUCCUGGAGGAAAUAGUCCUGGCAUGACAGAGACGACAGUAGACCUGGCAGAUGACAAAGAAAGAAGUUGAAAUUAGUCUUUCUAAGUUUUAGUGUACCAGCGGCAAGAGCAUUUGCAACAGUGCUAUCAGAUCACUGCUUGAUUCAGAUUACCUUUGGUGCCUUUAGAAAUUAUAUACUGUUCAAAGAAAUUUCAUGUUAAAGAUAAUGGUAGGAGUUCAUUCUGUAUUUUUUAACUGAUAUAUCUAUAUGUAUAUGAUUUAGUUAAAAAUAGGAUUAAAGCUAUAGUAAUAUUGCUAAUAAAGAGGAUAGGUUUGCUUUUACUUGCACUUCAAGAGACAUACAGUUUAAUUCGAUUUUCCAACUACUCAACAAUUUAGAGUGGCAAAUAAGCAAUAUAUAUUGUUGAAUUAUUUUCAGGAAGGCAAAUAUUUUCAUUUUUCCUGCUCUCAAGAAAAGACAGGGAGAGUUGUUGUUCUUCACCUUUUUGAAGCAUAAAUCUGUAGCAGUGAAAAUUUUUGGAAUAAUAAAAACCUUAAAAGAGCAGAGUAGAAAAAAAAAAGCCAAUGGAAGGACCACUUUCUGAGUCCCAUUCAUUUUGCUGCUAAGCCCAUCACCUUUUGCUGCAGAACUCCAGAACAUUAGUGACGCCAUAAUCCCUUUUGAGGUUUGAUAGUUCCUAUACCCUGUCCCCAUAUACAUUUAUUUAUUUAUUUAUUUAUUUAUUUAUUUAUUUAUUUUCCCCAUAUGCCUUUAGAGUAGUGGCGUGAAAGUUGCUGAUUAGUGAACUGUCCCUAUCCACUACAAGAAAAGGAACUUAACCCAGACUAUAUGUCUUUCAUUGAGAAAGUCUGGCAAUGGGAAAAAAAAGUAGUUAAAAUAGUAUUAUAGGAGGGUACUCCAAAAAGUUCCUGGAAAAAUGCAAUGAAAAACUAGGUUUAUUUUGAUGCAGAUAUUUUUGAAAUAUGUGUUUUCAUAAUACACAUUUUCCAUGAAGCUUUUGAAGACCCUGCUUACUUGUUAACAUAGUUGGUUUACAUUCUCAUACUUUCUCCUUAUCUUGGCCCCAGUCAGGAACAGACAGUUCAGAUAUGCAAAGCAGAACUUUGAGUAGCAGUACUUUGGAGCAGAAGACAGCAAACCUUUUCUCUACAGAGCCAGGUAGUAAAUAAUUGCGGGCCAUGUGGUUGCAGUUACUCCGUUCGCCUUGUUUCCAUGAAAGCAUUUGAAGAUAAUAUGUAAAUAAUUAGUCUGUGUUCCAGUAAAAUUUUAUUUACUAAAACAUGAUGUUGGCUGGAUUUGGCCCAAAGACUAUUGUUUGCCUAACCCUUCUUUAGAGUGCUUUGAUUCCGGUUUUUUGUUUGUUUGUUUGUUUGUUUUAAUUAUUUGAAAAAAAGAGAGCUGUCAUCUGCUGGUCUGUCUCCAAAUACCUGCAGUAGCAGGGGUGAAGGUGGGGCACAAAGCCAGGAGCCAAGUCCUGGCCUCCAACAUGAUUGGCAGGAACCCAAUUAAUUCAGGCAUCGCGGCUGACUCCCAGAGUUUGCAUCAGCAAGAAACUGGGACUCAAACCUGGGACACGAGUGUCUUAUCUGGGGUUUUGAUCAUCAUAUUACGUAAGAGACCCUAGAUUCCUUUGAUAGGAAUGGGAAUGCUGGUAAUACACUCUAGUGAUUACCUAAGAACAACCAUGAGCCCAAGGUGAUGUUUUUUGCAGUAGUUAAGAUGUAGCUUGGGAAUCCCUGAGUUCAGUUCUUGCCUCCCUUCUCAGUUUGAGCUUCCAUACCCUGGGAAACAGUAGUGAUGGCUCAAGUAGGUGGAUCCCCUACCACCCAGACUGAGUUCCUCACUCCCAGCUUCCGCCUGGCCUGGCUUAGCUCGAGUUGUUGCGGGCAUUUAGGGAGUGAAUCAGCUAAUGGGAGAUCUCUGUGUGUGCCUUUCUCUAUGCCUUUCAAAUAAAUAAGUGAAAAAUUUUUAAAAAGAACAACCAAAAUCCCUUAAUAUGUUAAUAGUUCUCUGUUACCUAUCAAUAGGAUUUUGAUAGUACAGUUUGAUGAUGUUUUGAAGCAUACUUGUUUAAUGAGAUGUAUUUUUAGUUUAUAUUGAAAAUCUGAAUAUGAUUUUCACUUGUUAUUUUUAACCCUAUGUAUCUCAUUAGUGUUUUAGGAAAGAAAUUAUAAUUUUUCCACUCCUGAAUUUAAAAAAAAAAACUAAAGAUUUGCAAAAAGAAGCUAACAAAAUAUAAGUUGUUUUGUUUGGGCUCUAAGUAAAAAGGUGAGGAAAAUAAAUAAGCAAUUUUUAAUGUUACAAGAUUUAAACACAAAUUGAUCUGAUUCUAAUGCUAUAUUGUUUUUCCAUCACACAUAUGCUUCCUAGCAUUUAUAUUGAAUAUCCCCUUUUAAAAUAACUAACUUUUGCAAAUUACUUUCUCAUUGAUAUUACUAAUUAUAAUUUUAUUAUCACUAUAGUGACCUUAUGGAAUCAAGGGCAUCUUAAUUGAAAGAAAGUGAGCCUAAUGAUAUCUUUUUUAAAAAGACUUAUUUCAUUUAUUUGAAAGCCAGGGUUAAGAGAGAGGGAGAGAUAGGAGUCUUCCAUCCGCUGGUUCACUCCCCAGAUGGCUGCAAUAGUUAAGGCUGGACCAUGUGUCUCCCAUCAUGGGUGUAGGGGCCUAAACACUUGGGCUAUCUUGUGCUGCUUUUCUAGGUGCAUUAGCAGGGAACUGGAUUGGAAGUGGAGCAGCCAGGACUCGAACCAUUGUCCAUAUGGGACGCUGGUGUCACAGGUGGUGGCAUAUCCUGUUACUCUACAAUACCAGCCCACUAAUGAUGCCUUUUUUUAAAAAAAAAAAAAAAAAGAAGUUUCAUUUUUUUUGAAAAGCAGAGACAGAGACAGACAGACAUAGAGAUCUUCCAUUUGCUGGCUCACUUUCAAAAGGCUGCAACUGCUGGGGCUGGACUAAGCCAUUGCCAGAAGCACCAGCUCUUACUGGGUCUCCCACAUGGGUAGCAAGGACCCACGUACUUGAACCAUCACCUUCUGCCUUUCAGUAUAUGCAUGAGCAGAAACCUCUGCUAAUGAGAUGCAGGUGUCCCAAGCAGCAUCCUGACUGCUGUGCCAAAUGCCUGUCUCUUUUCUUAAUAAGAAUUAAUGACUUUCCUCUGAAGAAAAAGUGUUAGUAAAUCAUUUUACUAAUAGGAACGAUAGCAUGUAAUUUGAAAAUAUAUUUUAUGUAAUAAUUACUGAAUUUUUAACAUUAUUACAAUUUUGUAGGCUUCUAUUAAGUCACUGCUUGGUUUUCAUGGUUGAAAUGAUCAUUUUUGUUCCUUCAAAACUGCCACUCCAAGAACACUUAUUUGUACUGACUUUAUGAAAUAGGACAUAUAUAUAUAUAUAUAUAUAUAAACACACACACACAUAUAUAUAGGCACUAAAAGAAGAUUGCAAAUAUUUCUUUUUUUUUGUUUUGUUUUUGAAGAUUUAUUUAUUUAUUUAUUUAUUUUAACUUUUAUUUAAUGAAUAUAAAUUUCCAAAGUACAGCUUAUGGAUUACAAUGGCUUCCCCCCCAUAACGUCCCUCCCACCCACAACCCUCCCCUCUCCCACUCCCUCUCCCCUUCCAUUCACAUCAAGAUUCAUUUUCGUUUCUCUUUAUAUACAGAAGAUCAGUUUAGCAUACAUUAAGUAAAGAUUUCAACAGUUUGCUCCCACACAGAAACAUAAAGUGAAAAAUACUGUUUGAGUACUAGUUAUAGCAUUAAAUCUCAAUGUACAGCACACUAAGGACAAAGAUCCUACAUGAGGAGUAAGUGCACAGUGACUCCUGUUGUUGACUUAACAAAUUGACACUCUUGUUUAUGGCAUCAGUAAUCACCCUAGGCUCUUGUCAUGGAAGCCUCCUGAGUUCACUGACUCUGAUCAUAUUUAGACAAGGCCAUGGUCAAAGUGGAAGUUAUUUCCUCCCUUCAGAGAAAGGUACCUCCUUCUUUGAUGGCCCAUUCUUUCCACUGGGAUCUCACUCGCAGAGAUCUUUCAUUUAGGUUUUUUUUUUUCCCCAGAGUGUCUUGGCUUUCCAUGCCUGAAAUACUUUCAUGGGCUUUUGAGCCGGAUCCGCAUGCCUUAAGGGCUGAUUCUGAGGCCAGAGUGCUGUUUAGGACAUCUGCCAUUCUAUGGGUCUCACUUCCCAUGUUGGAUCAUUCUCUCCCUUUUUUAUAUUUCAUUUUUACAUUAUUAUAACAUUAACACUUGUUUAUUAGGCUAAAAAUCAAACAAUUUACCCAUAUUUAAGCUUUUAAAAAACUUAUUGUCUCAUUAUUUAAAAGAAUAUACCAAGUAUAAUUAUUUUUCAUUGCUGACACUGUGUUAUCGUAGUGAAGAUUAUUGGACUAAGCUGUAAAUGAAGCUGUAGCUGCAGAUACUAAUGACCUAAGUGAUCCCCAGAACUUACCUUACGUUGUGGUUUCCAGAGAAUGCUGCACGUAUGUCUAGUCUCAUUUGACUCUUCCAAAAAUCGAACAGAAAAAUUGACUGUAUUCCUCAAUCACCUCAGCUCCUUUUUUUUUUUUUUAAGAUUUAUUUAUUUAUUUAUUUGAAAGUCAGAGUUACCCAGAGAGAGGAGAGGCAGAGAGAGAGGUCUUCCAUCAGAUGGUUCACACCCCAAAUAGCCGCAACGGCAGGAGCUGUGCCGAUCCAAGCCAGGAGCCAGGAGCUUCUUCUUCUGAGUGCAGGGGCCCAAGGACCCAGGCCAUCUUCCACUGCUUUCCCAGGCCACAGCAGAGAGUUGGAUCAGGAGUGGAGCAGCCGGGUCUCGAACCAGCGCCCAUAUGGGAUGCCGGCGCUUCAGGCCAGGGCAUUAACCAGCUGUGCCACAGCGCCAGCCCCCUCAGCUCCUUUUUUAAAAAGACUUUCCUUUCUGAACAGUGGAGUAAAUAUGUCCUUUCUGUGAAAUUUGUUAACUAUGAACUCUAGUUUUAAACUUUUAAAAUUUUUGAGCCUUUACCCACUACGUUUAAAGCAUUUUAAUUGCUCUAUGUUAGAGGCUAGCAAGCUGUGACCUACUAGUGACCAUCUGUUUUAUAAAUAAAAUUUAUUAGAUAGCCAUACCAUUUGUUUACAAAUUGUUUUAUUUUCCCUACAACAGCACAGUUGUAUAUGCAAUAGGCCAUAAGAGUAAAAUAUUUAUAAUACUUGCAGUCUGAACCUUUAUUUAUUAAUGGAAACUUUUGUUGUUUGGGAGAUGGAGAGCACUCAUCAGUUGCUUUACUCCUCAAAUGCCCACAGUGACCAGGACUAGACCAGAGUGAAGCUGUGAGCCAAGAACUUAAUCCACGUCUCUCACAUGGAUCACAGGAUCCCAUUUACUUAAACUAUCAUCAGUACCUCUCAAGAUCUGCAUUGGCAAGAAGACUGAGUCAGGAACUGGAGCUGGGUAUCACACUCAUGCACUCUGCUAUGGGGCACAGGCAUCUUAACCAGUGUCUCCCCCCACCUCCCCCGGAAAACCUUUUAUUUAAGGUAUACAGUCUUCAUGCAUUUCAUAAGUGCAAUUUUAGGAACAUAGUGAUUCUUCCCACCAUACACACACUCCCACCCUUUUCUUUCUGCCUCUCCUAUUCUCAUUCUUUUUUCACUAAGAUCUAUUUUCAGUUAGCUUUACGCACAUAAGAUUAAACUAAGUAAAGAGUUCAACAAAUAGUAUGAAAAAAACCUUCUUCAACAGUUGAGACAAGGGCUUCUCAAAGUCAUUGCAUCUCAAAGUGUCAAUUUUACUUCUAUAGGUUACCUUUUAGGUGCUCUGUUAUUAUCACAGAUCCGGGAGAAUAUAUGGUAUUUGUACUUUUGGGACUGGUUUAUUCCACUAAUAUAUUUUUCAGAUUCAUACAUUUUGUUGUAGAUGAUAGGAUUUCAUUUCUUUUUACUGCUGUGUAGUAUUCCAUGGUAUAUUUAUAUACCAAAAUUUCUUUAUCCAGUCUUCAGUUGAUGGGCAUUUGGGUUAAUUCAGUAACUCAGCUAUUGUGAAUUGAGCUGCAAUAAACAUGAGAGUACAGAUAACUCUUUCACAUGCUGAUUUCAUUUCCCUUGGGUAAAUUCCCAAGAGUAGAAUGGUUGGGUCAUAUAGUAGGUCUAUAUUCAGAUUUCUGAGGUAUCUCCAUUCUGUCUUCCACAGUGGCUGGACCAGUUUACAUUUCCAUACAGUGGAUUAGGGAACCUUUCUCCCCACAUCCUCGCCAGCAUGUGUUCUUUGUUGAUUUCUGUAUGAAAGCCAUUCCAACAGGAGUGAGGUGAAACUUCAUUUUGAAAUUUUGAUUUGCAGCCGGCGCCACAGCUCACUAGGCUAAUCCUCCGCCUUGCGGCACCAGCACACCGGGUUCUAGUCCCGGUUGGGGCGCCGGAUUCUCUCCCGGUUGCCCCUCUUCCAGGCCAGCUCUCUGCUGUGGCCAGGGAGUGCAGUGGAGGAUGGCCCAAGUGCUUGGGCCCUGCACCCCAUGGGAGACCAGGAGAAGCACCUGGCUCCUGCCAUUGGAUCAGUGUGGUGCGCCGGCCACAGUGCGCUGGCCGUGGCAGCCAUUGGAGGGUGAACCAAUGGCAAAGGAAGACCUUUCUCUCUGUCUCUCUCUCUCGCUGUCCACUCUGCCUGUCAAAAAAAAAAAUUUUUUUUUUUGAUUUGCAUUUCCCUGAUGGCUGGUGAUCCUGAGCAUUUUUUCAUGUGUCUGUUGGGCAUUUGGAUUUCCUCUUUUGAAAAAUGCCUAAGUUCUUUGCCCAUUUCUCCACUGGGUUGUUAGUUUUGUUGUUGUUGAGUUUCUUGAUCUCUUUAUAUAUUCUUGUUGUUAAUCCUUUAUCAGUUGCAUAGUUUAUAAAUAAUUUCUCCCAUUCUGUCAGUUGCCUCUUCACUGUGCUGAGUGUUUCUUUUACAUUGCAGAAGUUUCUCAAUUUAGUGUAAUCACAUGUGUCAGUUUGGGCUUUGAUUGAGUCUUGGGGAUGUUUUCCAAGAACUCCUUGCCUAUGCCAAUGUCUUUCAGGAUUUCCCCCAAUGUUCUCUAAUAAUUUGAUGGUAUUGGGUCAUAGAUUUAGGUCUUUGUUCCAUUUUGAGUGGAUUUUUGUGUAAGGUGUAAGGUGUGGGUCUAGUUUCAAACUUCGGCAUGAGGAGAUCUAGUUUUCCCAGCACCAUUUACUGAAGAGACUGUCCUUGCUCCAGGGAUUGAUUUUAGCUCCUUUGUCAAAGAUAAGUUGGCUGUAGAUGCAUGGGUUGGUUUCUGGUAUUUCUGUUCUGUUCCAUUGCUCUAUCUGUUUUUGUACCAGUACCAGGCUGUUUUGAUUAUAACUGUCCUGUAGUAUGUCUUGAAAUCUGGUAUUGUGAUACCUCUGGCUUUGUUUUUUGUUUGUUUGUUUUGUUUUGUUUUGUUUUAAUAUGACAGAGUUAGACACAGAGAGAGAGAGAGACAGAAAGGUCUUCCUUCCACUGGUUCACCCCGCAAAUGGCCACCAUGGCUGGAGCUAUGCCAAUCUGAAGCCAGGAGCCAGGUGCUGCUUCCUGGUCUCCCAUGCGGGUGCAGGGGCCUAAGCACUUGGGCCAUCCUCCACUGCCCUCCUGGGGCACAGCAGAGAGCUGGACUAGAAGAGGAGCAACCAGGACUAGAACUGGCACCCAUAUGGGAUGCCAGCGCCGCAGGUGGAGGAUUAACCAAGUGAGCCAUGGCACCGGCCCCCUGGCUUUGUUUUUGUUGUAUAAAAUUGCUUUAGCUAUUCAGGGUAUCCUGUGUUUUCCAUAUGAAUUUCAGCACUGUUUUUUCUAUAUCUGGGAAGAAUAUCCUUGGUAUUUUGAUUUGUAUCACAUUGAAUCUGUAAAUUGCUUUUGGUAGUAUGGACAUUUUGAUGAUAUUGAUUCUUCCAGUCCAUAACCAUGGAAUUUUUUUAAAAUUUUUUUGUGCCUUCUAUUUCUUUCUUUAAUGCUUACUAAUUCUCAUCAUAGAGAUCUCUGACAUCCUUGGUUAAGUUUAUUCCAAGUUAUUUUUAUUUCUGUAACUAUUGUGAAUGGGAUUGGUCUUAGAAGUUCUUUUUUGCCGGCGCCUCAGCUCAGUAGGCUAAUCCUCCGCCUUGUGGCACAGGCACACCGGGUUCUAGUCCCGGUCGGGGCGCCGGAUUCUCUCCCGGUUGCCCCUCUUCCAGGCCAGCUCUCUGCUGUGGCCAGGGAGUGCAGUGGAGGAUGGCCCAAGUGCUUGGGCCCUGUACCCCAUGGGAGACCAGGAUAAGUACCUGGCUCCUGCCAUUGGAUCAGCACGGUGCGCCGGCCACAGCGCGCCGGCUGUGUCGGCCAUUGGAGGGUGAACCAACGGCAAAGGAAGACCUUUCUCUUCUCUCUCUCUCUCUCUCUCUCUCACUGUCCACUCUGCCUGUUUAAAAAAAAAAAAAAAAAGUUUUUUUUCAGCCAUGGCAUUGUCUGUGUAUACAGAGGCUAUUGAUUUUUGUGUGUUGAUUCGAUAUCCUGCCACUUUACCAAACUCUUCUAUGAGUCUCAAUGGUCUGUUAGUGUAGUCUUUUGGAUCCCCUAUAUGUAGAAUCAUGUCAUCUGCAAAUAGGGAUAGUUUGACAUCCUCCUUCCCAAUUUGUAUCCCUUUGAUUUCUUUUUCUUGCCUAAUGGCUCUGGCUAAGACUUCCAGGACUAUAUUGAAUAGCAAUAAUGAGAAUGGGCAGCCAGGUCUGCUUCUAGAUCUUAGUGGGAAUGCUUCUGACUUUUCCCCCAUUCAAUAAGAUGCAGGCCAUGGGAUUGUUAUAAAUUGCUUUGAUUGUUUUGAGGAAUGUUCCUUCUAUACCCAAUUUGCUUAGAGUUUUCAUCAUGAAUAAUGUUGUAUUUUAAAAUGCUUUCUCUGCAUAUAUUGAGACAAUCACAUGUUUUUUUUUUCUUCAGUUUGUUAAGGUGAUGUAUAUCAUUGAUUGAUUUGAGAGUGUUGACCCAUCAAUGCAUACCAGGGAUAAAUCCCACUUUUAACUAGUAUGUAACUGCUAAGUCAAUCAAUGAGCUGCAGUGGUCAGGGUCAGUGCUGGGCCAGGCUAAAGCCAGGAUCCAGGAGCUUCAUCCAGGUCUCCCACAUGGGUGCAGGGGCUCAAGUACUUGGGCCAUUUUCCAAUGCUUUCUCAGGUGCAUUAACAGGGAGCUGGAUCAGAAUUGGAGCAGCCAGGACUGGAACUGGCACCUAUAUGGGAUGCUGGCAGUGCAGGUAGAGGCUUAGCCUUCUGUGCCACAGCACAGGCCCUUUAGUCGCAUUUUUUUUUUUUAAUAAUUGUUUACUUACUUGAGAGGCAGAGAGACAGCAUUCUCAUCCUCAGGUUCACUCCUCCAAUUCUCCCAGUAGCCUUUGUUCAAAUCCAGGAGCUUAGAAGCCAAUCCAGACCUCCCACAGUGGGGAAGAAACCCAACUACUUCAGCCAUCAUGGCUGUCCCCCAGAGUGGGUACCAGCAGGAAAUGAACCAGAAGUGGAGCCAGGCAGUGAAGCCAGAUUGCUAGAUAUGGAAUGCAGGCCUCCUAUCUGGUAUCUUAACUGCUAAACCAAAUGCCCACCUUUGUAAUGGGGACCUUUAAAAGAAAGUAUGCCAUUUCAUACUAUAUAUUUUUAUAUAGGCACAUUGCACUUUAUAGCUUUUUGAUCUUCACUCUUAUAAAAACUACAAUGAGACUUUUAGAAUUCUAAGUGUAGUCUGUGGCCGCACUAUCCUAGACACACCCAAUCUCAUUGAUCUUGGAAGCUAAGCAGGGUGGGGCCUGGUUAGUACUUUGAUGGGAGAAUUCUAAAUGUGAAAUUUAUUAGGUUAAAGAACAGUCUGUUUUCAAAUUUUUAAAAAAAAAUUCAUACUAAUGUUACCAAUUUGACAGGAUAUUUUUAUAAAAAAUGUUAAUACAUAAUGCUUGUAAGAUAAAAAGUGGUUAAAGUUCUACCACAAUAAUUAUGGAAAGCUUUUUGUCCCCACAUAAACUCAUAAGAAUUGAAGACUUAUUUAUCUAGAAAUUUUUAUCUUCAAUUCUUAAAAAAAAGUUUUUCUUCAUUUUUUUAAAAAAGGUAUUGUGCUUUUCACCAGAUAUUUCUAGUAUGUGGUUGUGUGAUUAGUUCCCAACCAGUGGGUUGUGAGUGAAGGUGACUUCUGGUCUGGGUAUUUGGUUGCUGAUCUGAGACUCUGUGAAACUUUUUUUCCUUUGGCAUGGUACCAGUCACACUUGAGAUGGUGAUUGCCCCAUGGGAGAGCAUCCAUGCUUAUUCAUAUGUUGUGUGAGAGGGAAAUAAGCCAUUUUUGUUAUAAACUAAUGCAGUUAGGGAAAUUUUGUUUCUGCAUCAUAACCUAUUUUGACCUAUACAGGCAUUAAUCCUGAAAAUAGAGUACUGUCAUUUAACAAUCAGACUUAAACAAUGGCUUUAGGUGACAGAUGGUGAGGCUACGUGAGUGAUCUACAUUCUGCUGCAGUGAAAGAUUUGAUAAACUGUUCUCUCAAAUAACUCGGAAGACAAUAUACUUAAUGAACUUGUUUCUCUAUUGGGAGACCAGGUAGCACAAUGUUAAUAGCAUGUUUUGAUUACUAUACUAGCUGUAUUUGGGAAGAUAUUUUAAGAAAGAAAAGAACUCAGAUGAGAAGUGGUAUGAUUGCAAAUGGGAACAAAAUAGAAUAGAAACGUAGAAAUUCAUAUACAUAUUUGCAGGAUUGAAGGAAGCAGAAAACUUCCCAAUUUCAACCAGUAAAAGGAAAAGGACUUUGAGCACCAAAGCUUGAUUGAAUCAUAUAUGGCCACCACUGUGAUUGUUGAAACAUCUGCCUAUAGUGUUUCUUCAUGAGAAUUCCUUCCAACAUUUCUUGGGAAAUUCAUAAUUUUGCAAAUCAGAAGACAUAUCAGUUAAGAAAUUGAUGGAAGAAUGGAAAGUAUUAUAAUUUUGCUGUGUGAUUAAAACAUAUUAAUUAACUUAGAGCCAUUUACUGUUUGAAGAAAUCCACUGAAAUCAAGCCCAAUAGCAAGAACAGGGAAUGCUGACAUGGUGGAGUUCAAGGGUAAGGUCAGUGUUUCCAUACAGUGAACAAAGAGCAAAUAAAAGAGAAAUGUUCACAAUCUAAUCAGCCUUGCUUGAAGCUAUUGCUAUAUUGCUGUGUCCACACCCCUCUUUGCUAACAGUGAUAAUAAUUUUAUAUGUGUAGUAUACUUAAUACAAAUUUGAUCAGUGGUGUUUGAAGAAAUAACAUGUGGAAGCAAAAUAACUCUUUAAAUUGGAAAUUUUGACUUGUUAUUUUUAUAUAGUACUGUUAACCUUGCUAAGAGAGCCAAACAUUACAUAAUGCAACUAUUACUAAAUAAAUUUGUUAGCACUUCAGAGUGUUGGUUAUUUGCCAAAGACUAAUUGUUCUUUGCAAAUAUUUAAAAAUGCAAAGAAAAAAAUGGGAAUAUUCUGGAACAUUCCAAACGAAUCUAAACUAAAAUUACAAAAACAGUAUCAGUUUCAACCAUAAGACCAACAUCAGAGCAAACAGAUAAAUGUUUUCAUCAUUUAGAAGGAAAUAGAGUUUCUAUGAAGCAAUAUAUAACCUCAUUUGAGGAUAUUUUUGGACAUACUCUUAGCAACUCUAUUAAUACCAAUGCAAAAUGAAAAAAAAAAAAACUAUAUUUGAAACAUCUGUUACCAAGUAAAGAUUAUUGGGUAGAGCUUUGUAUACUUUAAGUUUUAGUUGAUAGAUUAAUUAAUUAAUGCUUUGUGUACUUUAAGUUUUAAUUUUAAGAAUAACUUAGGGACCUGUGCUGUAGUGUAGAGGAUAAAAUCCUGUAAUGCCGAUAUCCUCUGGGUGUGCUGGUUCAACUCCCAGUUGCUCCACUUCAUAUCUGGCUCACUGCUAAUGCUCCUGGGAAGGCAUCAGAAGGUGACCCAAGUACUUGGGUUCCUGCACCCACGUGGGAGACCUGGAUGAAGCUCUUGGCUUUGGCCUAGCCUAGCCCUGCCCAUUACGGCCAUUUAGGGAAUAAACCAGGGGAUGAAAGAUUCUCUCUCCGUCUCUCUCUCUUUCUCUGCCUGCCUCUGCCUCUCCCUCUCUCUAACUACCUUUCAAAUAAAUGAAUUAAUUUAAAAAACUUGUAAACAAAUAUUUGUGGUACUUCCAAUUUUCAAAAUAAUUUUAUUUGACAUUUAUGUUACUGUUUCUGUCAUUUCUGUUAUCAAAUAUUUAUAACAGGUAGAAAUUAUGGUAUUGCAGUAUAUCAUCUUGUCACAAUAUGAUUCAUAAUAAUAAACCACAUACUUAUAAUUUGUUUUUAAUACAUUUUCUGAAAUAUUUAAUAUAGCAAUCACAGAAAAAUGAUUUAGUGUUUAUUUUGUUCACUCAAAAUUAUUUAAACUAUAUUAAAUAUAUUUAAAAUUAUUUUAUAUAUUUAAAAUAUGGUAAGUACACUGCUAUGAAAAAUUUCAAAUUUUGUGUAGUUUGAAGAUUUCUAAGAAUUGCCAGAAAUUUUGAUUCUUCACCCUUACAUCCUUGUUGGUGAUUUGGAAAUACCAAAACCCAAUAAAUCUUCAUAGCAAGGCAAAAAUGGCUUAGACACAAAAGCUAAAGAGUCAGCUUUUCACCAAUGCCUGAUAGUCUCAGAGAACCCUGUUUAAGUGUGGGAACAGUUGGGAGGACGUAUCUUUAAAAGUUGUGGGUGGCUCUUGACUCAUUGCUGAGUUGCAGAUCCAGGAAACUAGAGAACCUCAAACACUAGACAUAUGAAGAAAACUAUACAAAGGUAAGAUAAUACUCAAAACCAGUAAUAAAAUCUUAAAUGUAACCAGAUAAGAAAGACAUGUUACAUAUUGAGCAACAAAGGAUGAUAUCAGAGACCUUUAAAAGUACUAAGGGAAGGCCGGCGCCACGGCUCACUAGGCUAAUCCUCCGCCUAGCGGCGCCGGCACACCGGGUUCUAGUCCCGCUCGGGGCGCCGGAUUCUGUCCCGGUUGCCCCUCUUCCAGACCAGCCCUCUGCUGUGGCCAGGGAGUGCAGUGGAGGAUGGCCCAGGUGCUUGGGCCCUGCACCCCAUGGGAGACCAGGAAAAGCACCUGGCUCUUGGCUCCUGCCAUCGGAUCAGCGCGGUGCGCCGGCCGCAGCGCGCCGGCUGUGUCGGCCAUUGGAGGGUGAACCAACGGCAAAGGAAGACCUUUCUCUCUCUGUCUCUCUCUCUCACUGUCCACUCUGCCUGUCAAAAAAAGAAAAAAAAAAAAGUACUAAGAGAAAAUAUUUAACUUAGAAUUGUUUCCUAGCAAAAGCGUCUUUCAAAAACAAACGCAAGACUUAUUCAGAAUUUAUCCUCACAGAGCUGCACUACAAGAAAUGCUAAAAGUGGACAGAAGGUACACCAUAGAGAAAAUUAACUGUAUUGUUCAGUUUUUUAAAAGCUUUUGCUGAGUUUUUUCUUUGCUUGAUCUAUCAGUUACUGGAUAAUAUGUUUGAAAACCCUUUACUGUGUUGGUGGUGGUAGCACAUGUAUCAGUUUACAGCAGUAUUUUUGUUUUAGUUGAGAUUAUAUUUUGUAUAUACAAGUUUAGUUUAUUUUCCUAGUGAACUGAGCUGCAUUAUAUAGUGACCUCUUUAUAUCUAGUAAAUGCUGAAAGCUUUGUUUGAGACUGCCUGUUUGCAUGAUACAUAAUUUUGAUUCUUAUACUUUCAGCCUUUAUAUUAUACAUACGUACAUUUUAAAAGUCCAAACAAUUUUUAUGUUUUAAUUAUAGCACUUAGUCCACUAUAUUUAUGUUCUUUCUUGCUAUCUUUUGAAGUAUCCGUUUUCUCAUCUAUUUUUUUUUAAUUCUAUUGGUUUUGGAAAUCAUAAACUCUGUACUCUCCUACAUGCUUUUUCAGUCUUUGAGUAGGUACCCACCUGGAAUCUCACCAUGGAUCCUUGAUUUAUGAAAGCCUAAAAAUUAUUUUGAUCCCUCUAAAAACACGUAAAUUAUACUUGAUUCCAUAUUCCUUUCUAAAGGCUUUUUUUCCUACUCAGUUUUCAUCCAAGGCUGCCAAUCAGAAACAUAGGCUUGGAAUGGAAUAUGAAAUCUCUUGAUUUUUAAGUGUUGUCCAAAAUUGUGUGAGCCUAGUAAGAUCUUGUUGACAGUUCAGUAAUUAAAAGCUUCCGCUAGGCCCAAGCAAAAAAUUUAAUCAUGGCUUUAUUCAGUGGUGACUGCAACUGUUAUCACACAGAAAUCCUGCCUCAUGUGAGGUGCUUUAUUUCCUGUUACAUAAGAGAAGUAAAACUUGUAGCUGCUGUUUGCCACUCUGGAAAUUAUACUAUGUAUCCUAAAUUUCUAAAUGUCUAAUCAGUUAUUUUUAGGGGCCCGGCACUGUGGCAUAGCGGGUAAAACCACUGCCUGCAAUGCCAGCAUCCUGUCUGGGCGCCAGUGAAUGAGCGGAUGGAAGAUGGCUCUCUCUGCCUCUCCUUCUUUCUGUGUAUAACUCUGACUUUCAAAUAAGAAAGAAAGAAAGAAAUCUAAAAAAAAAUUAUUUUUAACCUCUUCCCAAUCAAAGAGCUGUAAAAACUCCCAAUUCCAAAUGCUUGUAGAGGAGUACAUGGCCCUUCCAAGAUGGCAGCUCUAAGUUCCAGUUCACUGUGGCACCAGUAUUUGUUGUAAAAUCUGCCAUUUUUUUUUCCUCUUUUGUUUUGAUCAACGUAGUGUUGACAAAACAAACUAUUUGCAAAUCAGAUGUGACUGGCAAACAGCCAGUUUUUAGCCUCUUCAGGAGCCAGUGAAGAGCUAAUUAUAUAUUUAUCUCUAUCUUUAUCUUUAUAUCUAUCCGUUCCUUCAGUAAAUGUUUAUUGAGCCCCUACAAUUGUCAUGUGCCUUAAUCCUUUGUUUAGUGUAGCCACUUGAUGAAGUGUGUCGCCAAAUCCUUGACAGCCAGUCCUUUAAGAAUGGCCCACCAGGGAAAUUAAGAAAUCAUGGUUGAGAUUUACUAUAUUUUUACCAUUUUCGUGAUCUUCAUUCCUUCUUGUAUGUCAUUCCUUCUAUCUGGGCUUAUUCUCCUACUGACUGAAGUAUAUCCUUCCUAAUAAAUACUCUUCAGAGGAAGUUUUCAGAUUGCAGAUUUUCAGCUUUUGCUUUGAAAAUAUCUUCCUCUUAGUCCUUGUUAGAGAAAGAAAUUUUCUGAGUAUAGAAUUACAGAUUGAAUAAUUUUCUUUCUUCCUUUUUUUUUUUUUUUUUUUGACAGGCAGAGUGGACAGUGAGAGAGAGAGAGACAGAGAGAAAGGUCUUCUUUUUCCAUUGGUUCACCUUCCAAUGGCCGCUGCAGCUGGUGCACCGCGCUGAUCCGAUGGCAGGAGCCAGGUGCUUCUCCUGGUCUCCCAUGGGGUGCAGGGCCCAAGCACUUGGGCCAUCCUCCACUGCACUGCCUGGCCACAGCAGAGAGCUGGCCUGGAAGAGGGGCAACCAGGACUAGAACCCGGUGUGCUGGUCCCGCAGGCGGAGGAUUAGCCUAUUGAGCCGCGGUGCCAGCCCUGAAUAAUUUUCUUUCAGCAUGCUGAAAUACCAUUUAUUUUCUUCUGAAUUCUAUGUUUAUUGUUAAGAAGUCCAUCUAAUUGUACUCUUCUCUCAGUUGGCAUCUCAAGAAAUGGUAGUCUAUGCACUUUGGAUUCAUAAUGAUAUGUUUAGGUAUUGCUUUCUGUUUAUCAUCCUGCUUGAUUUAUUACACUAUUUAUGAAGUAAUACCUUUCUAGAACAUUCUCAGCCUCUCUGUUUCUUUUUUAAAGAUUUAUUUAUUUGAAAGGCAGAGUUGCAGAGAGAGAGGGCAAGACAGAGAAAGAAAGAUGUUCUAUCCACUGGUUGACACCACAAAUAGCCACCAUGGCUAGAGCUGGGCCAGGCCAAAGCCAGGAGUCAGAAACUCCAUACCUGUCUCCCACAUGAGUAGUAGUGGCCUAGGUAUUUGGGUCAUCUUCCAACUGUGUUCCCAGGAACUUUACAAGGGAACUGGAAUGGAAGUGGAGCAACCAGGACUUGAACCAGUACUUAUAGGUUGACAGCACUGUAGGUGGUAGCUUACCAUGUUGCACCACAACUCCAGCCCCCACUACCAUCUCUUUUUAAAACUCCAUCCUUGGCCGGCGCCGCAGCUCACUAGGCUAAUCCUCCGCCUAGCGGUGCUGGCACACCGGGUUCUAGUCCCGGUUGGGGCACCGGAUUCUGUCCCGGUUGCCCCUCUUCCAGGCCAGCUCUCUGCUGUGGCCAGGGAGUGCAGUGGAGGAUGGCCCAAGUGCUUGGGCCCUGUACCCCAUGGGAGACCAGGAAAAGCACCUGGCUCCUCCUGGCUCCUGCCAUCGGAUCAGCGCGGUGCGCCGGCCGCAGCGCGCCGGCCGUGGCGGCCAUUGGAGAGUGAACCAACGGCAAAGGAAGACCUUUCUCUCUGUCUCUCUCUCUCUCACUGUCCACUCUGCCUGUCAAAAAAAAAAAAAAAAAAAAAAACUCCAUCCUCUAUGACUCUUAAUUUUUUCUCAUAUUCAGUUUGUGCUACAUUUUGCAUAACUUAGAUCUUUCAGUAUAUUAUCUUUCUCCAUAUUUAAUCAGUUAACUACAUUCAUUGAACUUUUGAAAUUUCAAUUACUACAUUUUUCAUAGUGAACAUCCUCUAAUUCUUUCUUCAACUCUGUAAUUUGCUUGCUUUUUCCAUUUUAUUUAUUGAAGUAAAUUAAAUAAUUUUUAUGUGUGCCUGAAUAUUCCACUACUGAAGUCUUUUCAGGUCUGAUUCAGCUAUCAGUUGUUUCUGCUUGUUCUAACCUGUGGGAUUUUGUUUCUUUAAUGUUUAUUGAUUUUUAUUGUGAUAUUAGUGUUCCUCAUACAGUAAUUCUUAGAGGUCUGGAAUGAAGUAAAUUUUUUCCAAAGGGAGUGGGAUUAUAUCAGUCUUCUGGAAACACUACUAUUCCAUUAUGCCUUUAAAAUUCAUUAUGUGAGGUUUUGUCAACUACAAAAAUAAGGUAAAUUCAGGCUGCAUACCUGCUUGAAGGCCAAGCUGUGAAUACAAAUUUUCAGGAAAAAAACUUUUGCAAAUCUGAGAUGGAUAUUUUUUCUUUCAGUCUUAGUGAUAUUACAGUCUAUGUUGGUAUUUUUUUUUAAGAUUUAUUUAUUUAUUUGCUUGUUUCAUUUGAAAGGCGAAGUUACAGAGAAAGAGAGGGAGACAGAGAUACUGGUCUUCCAUCACUAGUUCACUCCCCAAAUGUCCCUGCCCUGGACAAAGCCAGGAGCCAGGAACUCUUUGGGUCUCCCACAUGGACAGGAGAAGCCCAAGAACAUGGAUCUUCCUUUGCUUCCUAGGCUCAUUAGCAGGGAGCUAGAUGGGAAGUAGAGCAGCCAGGACUUAAACCAGCACCCACAUGGGAUGCUAGCACUGCAGGAAGUGGCUUAACCUACUUUGCCACGAUGCCAUCCCCCAAAUAUCAGUAUUCCUAAUUCAUCCAUUUACUAAGGAAUAGACCCUGUUGCUUUAAACUUUGUAUAAGACAUGAAUUUAUUAGACAUGAAUGUUGUUUUCCAUCUUCUGGAACAAAGCUUUGAAAACCAGUGCACAACUUCAUCUAGCUCAGUAAUUACACUAAAGACAGGAAGUCAUCUCUGGGUUCCCAACUUUAGAGUUUUGCUUCUCUCAGAUUAUAUACUUAAGAAGAGGUUUAAAUAUUUUUGGUUACUUUGAAUGAAUUCUAUUCUUGGCUCUCUUUACUAAUACUAAUUUUCAUCACAUGGUGGAGAACUUUCAUCUGCAGAUACAUUUGUAAGGAGAUUUCCCCCAUUGCCUCUCGUCCUGCUAUCCUUGAGACUCAUAUAAACAUACAAAUGUACAAGUGCACACAUGUAUGCACAAACACAGAUUUGCCUUUUUAUGCUCAAAACAGCUCCUGAAGGGCUCAAGACAUUGUAAACAAGGACUUUUGUGUAGGUGGGUAAUGAAUGCCUUUCACUCUUUACCUUAAAUACUUUCUGUAUUUUGAACUUAGUGAAUUAUCUAUUCAAAAAUAAAUUUAAAUUGAAUACCUGUUUUUUAAAGAUUUGUUUAUUUAUUUGACAGAAUGAGUUACAGACAGAGGGAGAGACAGAGAAGUCUUGUAUCUGCUAGUUCACUCCCCAAAUGGCCUCAACAGCAAGAGCUGGGCUGGUUGGAAACCAGGAGCCAGGAGCUGCUUCUGGGUCUCCCACGUGGGUGUAGGGGCCCAAGCACUUGAGCCAUCUUCCACUGCUUUCCCAGGCACAUUACCAGGGAGCAGGAUUGGAAGUGGAGCAGCUGAGACUUGAACUGGCACCCAUAUUGGAUGCCAGCCCCACAGGUGGAGGCUUAACCUACUAUGCUGCAUUGCCAGCCCUGGAAUACCUACUUUAAGCCACUAAAUUUAUAGAAAUUUUUUAUGGCACAGCAAAUGAAUACAGGCUGGUGCUCGCGCUCGCUCACUCUCUCUCUCUGUCUCUCCCUCUCUCUCUUUCACUAUUAUGAGCUGUUGGAACAUUGCAUAUAAAGACUUUUUGUGGACAUACGCUUUCAUGUACCAUUGGUAAAUACCUAGGAAUGGGGGAUGACUGGUGUUAGGGUUUGAAUAAUAGGCUGGGUGUCCCCCAGAGACCCGUGUGUUUGGGGCUUAGUCCCCAAAAUCAUCUGUUAAUGGUUAAUGGAUUAAGGUUAAAGACUUGAUCUGUAUGGUGUCUGGAAGGUAGACCCAGUGGAAGGUCUGUAGAUUAUUAGGGGCUCGCCCACAGAAGUAGUUAUUGAGAGAGGGUGGAUUGUAUAUGCUAAGCUCGGCCCAGCUUUUCUCUCUCUGCUUCCUGAUUCACCAUGUAAUCCUCCUUCCACUCAAGUUCAGCAAACCACCAUCUUCAUCAGGUGCCAGGCUAAUGGGGCUGCCUGAUCUUGGAUUGUGAACCUCCAAAACAUGAGCCAACAUAAACCUUUUUUCUUCCUAAGUAGUUUUUCUCAGCUAUUGUAGGUAUAAUAAUGAAAAGCUGACUAAUAAAACUGGCUUACAUGGUAAGUAUAUUUUUAAUUCUUCAGAAAAUUAGAAAAUCUUUUUCCAAAGGAGCAAUAUUGUUUUAUAUUGUCAGUGGCAUUAUGUGGGUAUUGUCACCAACACUUGGUAAGGUUAAGUCUUUUUCAUUCAUUCUCCUGGGUGUGUAGCAAUGUCUUUAUGUAGUGGCAUUUCAGAGAAUGCACUAUGCAUAAUUUCAGACUGAAAUAUGUUGAGAUUGUCUUUAUGGCUGAGAGCAUGAUCAAUUUUGGUAAACAUUUCAUGUCCUUAAAAUCAAGAUACAAACUGCAGUUGUUUGGUAUGAUGUAUGUUUUAGGUCAAUUUUCUUAAUUCUGUUACUCAGAUCUUACAUUUGAACUCAUUUUCUUUAUCUGCUUUUUUUUUAUCACUUUAUGGAUAUUAUGAAUUAAAAGUCUUUCAUUUUGACUCAGGCAUUUUUUCUUUCAGUUCUUCAGUUUUGCUGUAUUACAACCAAUAAUAUGGUCUUUCAGUAGAGUUUUAUCCUUUUGAGAAUAUCAUAUAAAUGAAAUGAUACAUUAUGUCACCUUUUGAGACAUUUACUCAGUGUAAGGUUUGAGAUUCACACAAGCUGUAGCAUGUAUCAAUGGUUCAUUUAUUUUUAUUGCUGAAUAGUUAUCCAUUCUAUGGGUAAAACAAGUUUUAUUUUUUACUUGUUUACCCAUUAGUUGACACAUGAAUUGUUUCCUGUUUGGGGAUUGUGAAUAGAUUUUGUAUAAACAUUCAUGUACAUACUUCUGUCUGACCAAGUUUUCAUUUUUCUGGAAUGAAUAAAUAGGAGUAGGAUUGCUAGGUUCCAUGGUAGGUAUAUAUUUCACUUACAAGAAACUAGCAGACUUUUCAGGAGUAGUUCCAUAAUAUAACUCUUUAAAUUAUGAUUUUACUUAGAUUAAAUAUUUUGUCACAUCCAGUGAGAUGUAGAAGCCUUAAACCCUCAUGUUCUUUUGUCCUGUAUGCUUUAUGUUGUAAUAUUACAUCUCUAGUCAUUAAAAAUACUAUUAGAUGUUGUGACUUUUGCCUUAAGCCAUCAAAUAUAUUUUAAAGAAUUCAAGAGGAGAAUAGCCUAUUGUAUUUACUCAGAUGUCAACCAUUUCUACUGCUCAUAUUUUAUGCAUGAUGUGUCAAGUUUUGCUUCAAGUAUCAUUUUCCCAAAGGUCUGAAGACCUUAUUUUAGUAAUUCUUUUAGAGCAUGUUACAUGACAACAAAUUAAGUUUUCCUUUAUCUGAGACUGUUUUUAUUUUAGCUUUGUUCCUGAAUAAUAUUUUAACUCAAUAUGGAAUUGUAGGAAGACAGACCUCUUUGUGUUCUUUGUGCUUUAGAAAAUAUGCCAUAUUUAGAAAAUAUGCCAUUUGGAUCUUCAUGAGGUGAAGGAUUUAACAGUCACUUGAAUCAUUGUUUCUUUAUAAUAAGAUAUUGAUUUUCUAGGGCUACUUUCAAAUCUUUCCCUUUGUCUUCAGUUUUCAGAAGGUUGACUGUGGUGUGUUUUGGUAUGGAUUUCUUUUUUUUUUUAACUUUUAUUUAAUGAAUAUAAAUUUCCAAAGUACAGAAUAUGGAUUACAAUGGCUUCCCCCCCCCCAUAACGUCCCUCCAACCCGCAACCCUCCCCUUUCCCACUCCCUUUCCCCUUCCAUUCACAUCAAGAUUCAUUUUCGUUUCUCUUUAUAUACAGAAGAUCAGUUUAGCAUACAUUAAGUACAGAUUUCAACAGUUUGCUCCCACACAGAAACAUGAAGUGAAAAAUACUGUUUGAGUACCAGUUAUAGCAUUAAAUCUCAAUGUACAGUACACUAAGGACAAAGAUCCUACAUGAGGAGUAAGUGCACAGUGACUCCUGUUGUUGACUUAACAAAUUGACACUCUUGUUUAUGGCAUCAGUAAUCACCCUAGGCUCUUUGGUAUGGAUUUCUUUGGGAUUCUGAUGUUUGGGAUGGACUGGACUUCUUGAAUUUGUAGGUUAAAGUUCUUUGCUAUAUUUGGGAAGUUUUUCUUUUUUUUAAUCCAUUAUUUCCCCUUCCAUUUUAUUGUGGUAAACGAUACGUAACAUAAAAUCUGUCACAUUGACAUUUUAGAUAUCUAAUUUAGUACAUUUACAAUUUGCAACAAUCACCACUGUUUACUCCAGGAACAUUUUCAUCAUCCAAAUAAAAAAAGAAAUUUUUUAUGCAUUGAGUAAUGAGUCUCCGUUCUCCCUUCCGUUAGUUCCUGGUAACUUCUAUUUUCUCUAUGAAUCUGUAUAUUCUAGUUACCUCAUGUAAAUGGAAUCAUAGGGUAUUUGUCUUAAUGUUUCUGAAUUAUUUCAUUUAUCGUAUGUUUUCCAUAUGAUUGUAAGUAUAUACCACAUUUUGUUUGUCCAUUCAUCUGUUGUUUGAAACUUGGGUUGUUUACAUCUUUUAGCCAUAGUGAAUAAUAAUUUCAUAAGCAAUUGCAUAAAAAUGUCUCUUUGAAUCCCUUUUUUUUUUUUUUGGUCUUUUGGAUAUACACUAAGAAUGAAUUGCUGUGUCAUGAUAAUUCUAUAUUGAACAUUUUGAGGAACUGCCACGCUGUUCCACUUAUUAUAAAAGUGGCUUAGUGUUUUACAUUUUCAUCAGCGAUGUACAAGGGAUCUAAUUUCAUGCCCCUGUCCUUGCCAACAUGUAAUUUGGAGCUUUUUUGAUACUAGUCGUUCAAGUGGGUAUAACAAGGUAUCAUUUUUUUCUCCUCUGUCUGAGACUGUGAUAACAUAAACAUUUGUCUUUUGUUAUUGUCCUACAGGUUUCUUAGGUUCUAUACUUUUUUAGGAAAUAUUUUUGUCUGUUUUCCAAUCAGAUAAUUCCUAAUGGUCUAUCUUUUAAUUCACUGACUCUUUUUUGUCAUCGCCUUAGUAUUAUUAUGACCAUCAGUGAGGUUUUUUUAAUUGUUAAUUUCAGUAUAUUUUUAGUUCUGAAAUUUUAGUUUGAUUCCUUAUAUUUUCCAUUUCUUCCCUGAGAUUUUUUCUUUUAUCCAUUUUGAGUGUCAUUACUUCCUAGAGCACUUUUAUAAUGCCUUCUUUAGUAUGUUGAUCACAUAAUAAAAGCAUCUGCAUCUAAUCAUUGACAUGUUGAUUCCCUUUAUUUAUGUGAGUUCAGGUUCAUCUGGUUCUUUAUAUAAUAAGUUUGAAUUAUAUCAUGAACAUUUUGAAUAUUAUAGGACUCUGGCUUUCUUUAAAUUCUGUGGGAAGAUGUUGAUACUUUUAUUUAAGCAGGCAGUUAACGUUUUUGUUUUGUUUGUACGUUUCAACCAGCCUUGGGUUGUGGUUUCAAUGUCCUAUUUUCAAAGCCUGUUCAUAUUUAUUAAAAUCUAUCACAUACAUGCUGCUCAGUGGCCAGCCUAAGACCUGGGGACUGGUCUGCCUCUUAGUGCAUUCUGUCUGUCUAUGUUUGGUAUGUUUAUUGGAACCUCACAUGCAUUUCUCUGAAAUCAUUUUAGGAAUUCAUAAACAUAUUUAUUUGGUAAUGCCCUUCCCACUACUUUCCAAUCCUCUGACGCUCUCCUUUGAACUUCCAACUGUAAUGCUGAGAUUUUAUUUAACGCAGUGUACCAAAAAACUCCCCAUGCUGCACCUACAUCCAGGGCUAAGUAAAGGGAGGUUAGUGAGAGUUCAGACAUCAGUGGUGUUCACUAUACCUUCUGGAGACUAUGGCCUUUUUUUAACUGGAAAAAUCUCUCCCUUCCCCCAGAGAUUUUGAUUCUUGUAGGCUCCUGUAAUUAUCAUGAGACCUCUAGGUUGCUUUCUGAGCCUAGGCUGGAAUGCUUUUCUGAAUGCGCUCUCUGGCCACACCAAUGCCUAUUUCCACAUUUCAGGAUGUCUUAGAUCCAGACUGGAAUAUACUAAAGAGGGGUGAAUAUGAUCUGCUCACCCCUACUUAGGUGAUACUGUGAUUUCUGUUAUUAUCCUAUCUGCCUACUACUAUUUACUUUUCGGAGUAUUCAAGAGUAUUUAUAUGCGUUCUGUCCAGAUUUUAUAGCUGCACUUGAUGGGAGAAUGAGAGUAGAGCACUUAACUCUGCCUUACACAGAACUGGAACCCUUGCAGUAAUUUUGUAAUUAAAAAUACCAACAGUAAGGAAACAACCAAAUUUGACAAGUAAGUGCUAUCAAUACUAAGCCAAAGUAUUCUUUAAAAUAGAAUUUCUCAGUAAAAUUCCAGAUAGAAUUCACUUUUUAAAAAAUAUUUAUUUAUUUAUUUGAAAGUCAGAAUUGCAUAGAGAAGGAGAGGUAGAGAGAGAGUUCUUCCAUCUACUGCUUCACUCUCCAGUCGGCCAUAAUGGCUGGAGCUGUGCCAAUCCAAAGCCAGGAGAUGGGAGCCAGGAAUCAGGAGCUUCUUCUGAGUCUCCCAUAUGGGUACAGAGGCCCAAGGACUUGAGCCAACUUUUUCUGCUUUCCCUGGCCAUAGCAGAGAGCUGGAUCAGAAGUGGAGCAGCCAGGUCACAAAGCCACACCCAUGAGGGAUGCUGGCAAUUCAGGUGGCACCUUGACCUAUAUAUACCACAGUGCCAGCCCCUAGAAUUCACUUUUAAAAUUCCACCAAACCAGGGGCAAGACAAGGUUGCCUCCUAGGCUACUAAGGAGUCUUAACUACAGAUCACAGAAAAGUUUCUCUGGCUGACAAGAAGAAAUAUAACUUACCAAGUAAGUAUUACAAGAAGAUACAAGUAACUAAAUCAAAAUUGAAAGUGAAGACAGUGCUUCUGACCUUUAUGAAAUCAAAAGGAUUAUAGGAAUACUCUGUACUAUACCUAAAAAACUGGGUAAGCUAGAUGACAUGGACAAGUUUCUUGAAACAUAAGUUACCAAAACUGACUCAAAAAGAAAUAGAAGAUUGACACAGAGCUAUUACAAUUAAGAGAUUAAUACAUUAAAAUAUCCCAACAAAGAGUCUAGGAUCAAAUGGCUUUACUAGUGAAUUAUACCAAGCAUAAAGAAAUAUUAGCACCAAUCCUUCUUAAAUUCUUCCAAAAAUAUAAGAGGUAGGAAUACUUCAUAGCUCAUCUUACGAGGCCAGCAUUAACCAAAUAUGUAAAAAUCAUCAUCAAAAUACAAGCAAGCCAAAUGCAAAGCAUAUUAAAAGAUUAUACACCAUGACCAAAAGAGAUUCAUUGCAGGAAUGCAAGGAUGUGUGAGCCUAAGAAGAAGCAAUGUAAUGUACUACACUAAUACAAUGAAAGAAAAAAAUAUAAUCAUCUCAACUGACGCCUAAAAGCAUUCGGAAAAAUUCAACACAUUUUCAUGAUAAAAAUUCAGAAAGCUAAGAAUGGAAGUGAACUCCCUCAACUUAAUAGAAGCAGUUACAAACACAGCAGUGCCGUGGCUGUAGCUGGUAAAGUUGCCACCUGCAACACCAGCAUCCCAUAUAGGAUCCUGUUCAAGACCCUGCUGCAUUACCUCCAGUCUUGCACCCUACUGAUGAUGUGUCUGAAAGCAGCAGAAGAUGGCUCAGGUGCUUAGGCUCCUGCAUCCAUGUGGGAGACCCAGAAGAGGCUUCUGGUACCUGGCUUCAGCCUGGCUCUGUUUUGGCCGUUGCAUCCAUCUGGGGAGUGAACCAGAAUAUGGAAGGACUUUGUCUCCCUCCCUCACUCUAACUUUCAAAUAAAUCUUUUUUAAAAAAGACUCAUAGUCUGAUCACUUUGACUAGUGAGAUGGCAUUGGUACAUGCCACCUUGAUUAUCCCAUUUAUCUUUUUUUGCUUUUGUUGAUUGGGCUUCUGGGAUCUUAUCCAAUAAAUCUUUGCCAGUGCCAAUGUCUUACAGUACUUCUCCUAUGUUUUCCUCCAGUAAUUUGAUUGCUUAAAUUUUUAGGGGUUAGACCCUUGAUCCAUUGAGAGUUGAGUUUUUAUAAGAUGUGUAAGGUAGGGAUCCUGAUCUGUACUUCUGCAUGUUUAGCUCCAAUUUUCCCAACACCAUUUUUUGAAAAAAUAGUUGCUUCCCUAAGGAGUGAUUUUAGUUCAUUUGUCAGAGAUUGUUUGGUUGUAGAUGUGUAGAUUAAUUUCUGGAGUUUCUAUUCUCGCCCAUCGAUCCACAUAUCUAUUUUUGUGCUAUUAUUAUGAUGCCUCCAACUUUGUUUUUAUAGUUUAAGAUUGCUUUAGCUAUUUGAGGUCUCCUAUGUUCCCAUAUGAAUUUUAGUAUCCAUUUUUUGAGAUCUGGGAAGAUUGUCCUUGGCAUUUUGAGUGGGAUCACAUUUAAUGUGUAAAUUGCUUUGGGUAGUAUGGACAUUUUGGUGAUAUUAAUUCUUCCAAUCCAUGGAUUUGGAAGAUUUUUCCAUUUGUAUGUGUGUAUGUGUGUGUUUUAUAUUCCUUUCCUUAAUUUUUUGUAAUUUUCAUUGUAGAAUUCUUUUACUUCCUUAUUCAAAUUGAUUCCAUAAUGUUUAAAUGUUUUUGUAGCAAUUGUGAAUGGGAUUGUAAACAUAGGCUAUGAUUUUUGUGUGUUGAUUUUAUAUCCUACAACUUUGCCAAACUCUCUUAUGACUUUAAUAGUCUCUUAGUGGCGUCUUUGUUCUCUUAUGUAUGGCAUCAUGUCAUCUGCAAACAGGAAUAGUUUGACUUUCUCCCUUCCCAUUUGUAGUCUUUUGAUUUCUUUUUAUUUCCUACUUGCUUUGGUAAAACUUCCAGAACCAUAUUCAAUAAUAUGGUGAGUGGUUAUCCUUGUCUGGUUCCAGAUCUUAGUGAAAAUGCUUCCUGCUUUUCCCCCUUUAAUAUGAUUCUGGCAAUGGGUUUGUCAUAUAUUGCCCUGAUUGUGUUUGGGAAUGUCCCUUCUAUACCCAGUUUGCUUAAGGUUUUUAUCAUGAAAAGAUGGUUACAUUUUAUCAAAUGUUUUCUCUGUGUCUAUUGAGAUAAUCAUUUGAAAUUCUGUACCCAUAAAACAGCAAAUCCAUAUUACUUCCUUUCUCCAACGCUUAAUAAACACCAUCCUACUUAUUGCCUCUAUUCUUUUCACUGUUCUAUAUAUCUUACUUACGUGGAGCCUUGGAGUACUUGUCCUGUUGUGACUGGCUUAUUUCAUUUAGCAUAUCCUUCAACUUUUAUCUGUGUUAGACCAUAUGUCACAAUUUCCUUUUAAAAGGAAGGAAAUAAAGCAUUCUAUUAAAUAUUUGUACAUUUGCUUUUCUGUUAGUUUUCUGAUGGAAAAUUGUUACUUCCAAUGUGAAAAAUUGCUACUGUGAACAUGAGUUACAGGUACUACUUCAAAACCCUUUUUUAAUUUUUGCAGUUAAGAACCAAUCAAACAUUGUUUAAAAAAAAAAAAACACAACUACCCAGUGCUCAGUGUAUAUGCUACACAAAGGAAUUGCUAUAGUUAGGAACCAGGCAGAGCAAUGAUAAAUCUAUAUAGAUAUUCUCUAUAUACAUCCUGAAGAUUGGUAACUAGGCAUUCAAUGAAGAGUUGAAUAAUUGAUUGACUUAAGAAAGGAAAUAGGACUGGCUAAAAGUAAUAGGCAAGUUUUCUAGCUUUCAGGUAUGUGCUUACUGAUAUAAAAUUAUCUUUAAUCAGUGGAGAUGAUUUUUAAGCCUAGUACUGAAGGUUACUUGAUGUUACAGUCCUUCUCUAGUACAGAUUUGAAAACCUUAAGCAGCCCACCAAAAUUUGACACCUUAUCUACAGAUUAAGCAUUCACCACAGUAUUCCUCACUGUCACUUAAGCAAUGACCAGGAAAAGAAGGAAAAUUUAGAGUAUUGCAGCAGAAUUUCUUCAACAACUUCUGCAACAGAAGUAUGUUUCCAGUUGGUGCAUUUGUUCUCUAAAUGAGGAAAGCCACUUACCAGUGAUAGGCUAGCAAAACUGGAUAUGAUUGCAGUGGACAAAGAAAUGUAUCUAGAGAAAAUAAAGUUAUUUAAGAGUAUUAGCCUUUCAAUGAAAAUGGUUGCUUGAAAGCUUGAGUAAUAUCAAUACCCAAGAAAAAACAAUGAAGAUAAUUUCAAGUUGUAUUCUUUAAUUAGAAGAGUCUACAGAUAUUGAUACUGUUCAAUUGUAUGUUCAAAGAGUUGAUGCCAAAUUUUGAGUUAAUAAGGAAUUAGACCUUACGCAUAGUCUGUGGAAUAACUAUAGGUGAGAAUAUUUUCAGAGAAGUUGGGAAAACAAUUAAUUCUUUAAAACCUGAAGUAGAAUUACAAGUGAUGGUAGUAAAACCAUGUACAGCAAAAAAGGCAUAGGUAUGGUCGGUUCCAAGAUGGCGCAAUAUGGAGGGAGCUUACUGAUCUAGUCCAGGAGAAGAUGGUUUAAUAAAAAUGGAGAUAGUGUAGUCUCAGGGAAGAGUUAGGGGAAAAAUGGCAGAGGAAACUCUCCAUAAUUAGAGGGACAUGAUGGACCUAUGUGAAGGGCAUGGGCGCCCACAGCUCGGGACUCCAGCAGCUGAGAGCCUCCAUAUCAGCGCUGGAAAAUGAGGUGAGACCAGACCGAGAAACUGGUGAAAAAGCAGUAGGAAGAGUCUAGAGGGAACGAGACUUGAAGCCCCAUGGGGGUAAGUACACAAGCUUAACUAGAGGGGAGAAAAAAUAAAAGGGGCAGUACAGACACGAUUCUCUUUCUCCAGUCACCUUACAAAAGUGUACAAGCCAAUAGAGCAGGCGCCAUUUUGGACAUACGUAACAGCUGCACCAGCUCGUGUCUGCACCUGGCAAUCAGCCAACCAGAGAAACCUGACUCUGGUGGGGAGUAUUAACAGGAGACUAAGACCUAGUGACUGUGUGGAGCUUCUGAACUGGGACUGUGGAAAAAAACAAAAGGAAAAAAACAGGAUGUGUGGGAGAACUCAUGGUGUGGCUGAGGCUUUGAGUAGUCUUGGUGGGAGAUGCCACAAGCUCAGGUGACCCUUGCUAUCCAGUGAGAGACAUUGCAGGGGAAUCUGAACUUACACUGAGGACUGAACAUAUCCUUUGUGUGGUCCUUGGGACAGAACAGAUGAAUAUUGUACCCACUGGGGCCAGUGCUCAGUCACUGAUCACCAUCUAGGAGAACAGCUCAGCUGAGUGGAUUUACUUCUCUUCUGAUUAAAAAAAAAAAAAAAAGAUUUUACACGCCAAACCUG
Oryctolagus cuniculus (rabbit) is the source of this 31162-nucleotide non-coding RNA. NCBI's taxonomy places the organism in Eukaryota, Metazoa, Chordata, Mammalia, Lagomorpha, Leporidae. The record is from RefSeq and is a predicted model, not a curated record.